UGAGAAAUAAAACUCAUAUGCUCAUGUAACUUCCCAGAAUAUCACGUUGCAGUUCAUAUUUGGACAUCAUCUUUUAACAGUCAUGUAAUCAAGCUAAGCUUCAAAAUCCUUACAAAAUUUAAUCAUACAUAAAAUGGGAUAAUUAAUACAUAUAUUUAAGGUUAAAAUCUAGCUUGCUAAAAGGAGAUAUAGAAAACAGAGCAAAACAAAACAAAUAAUCAAAAUCUGGAAUUCAGUCCACGUAUUCACAUGACAUUUGAGAAUAAGGUAGCAAAUGAUCCAAAGCUCCAUGUAUAUGAUUCAAUGGCCAAGAAAAUGUUCAGCAUACAUACCUGUUUACAGCAAAAUCAACCAAAAUAGAAGUAAAUUUCUAAAAUAUGAACAGAUGCAGCAGCCAAAACAGAAGAAGCAAGAAUGAUUCAAAGUGAGCUUCAGCUUCUUAACCCAGAAAUCUAAAGAACAGUACUUCACCCUUCGAAUGAAACCAAAAAAGAAGAAAUUGAUGCCUUUCUUUCUAUGAAUUGUGUCUGUUCAUCAUGAGAAUUAAACUUUUUGAAGAAAGGAUUCUGCAGCUUAUCAAUAUCUCAGCCGUUCCUCUUUUUAGGUGUCCUAAAAUCCCCCCCCCCCCCCAGAAUGAGGAAAAUGAUCCUCUUAUAGAAAGACCUUAGGGCAGCAUCACCAGAUUUUCCUCCUUCCUUAAUUCUCCUUUUUACCCCUUUUUUACUUAGUUAUUUUACCCCCUAGCCCCUUAAUUACCCAUUUUUACCCCAUGCAAGCCUCCUCUUAUCCUUUAGAAGCUUCUCUCAUAACAGAAAAUAUUCUCUAGACCUAAGAUACCCAAAAUAGCCCCUGACACCCCUGUAUUUACUCCCCAAACUGACCCAAGACUCAAACCCAGACAAUGGGUUUCUUCUGCCCAAACCAGAAAUAACCAAAAGCCCAAAAGAGACCUAAACAUUAAAAUCAAAUGAAUUAAUGAAAUUAAGCUAAUAUUAAGACCUUAAGACUAGCUGGUUCAUUAACCAAACAAAAAGUCAAAUUGAUCAAGGCAAGUUGUAAUUGACCACGAACCUAAGCAUGCUAACAAUGAUUUAACAAUUAACUAGUUUAAAAAUUGAGUACAACCUGCUUGUUAAGUGUUCUAACCUAUCAUGCAAACAAAAACUAACUGAGAAGAAGAGAAAUAAAGAAAGAAAAGAACAGAGAAGAAAAAAUAAAACAAAAACAGAAACAAACAAAUGAUUAAAGGCCAAAAAGUACCGAUUUAAUCAUCAAGACGACCAAGAAAAAGCAAAAGCGGAAGACUCGCCAGGCUCAGGAUGCUUCGAAAGGGCUUGUAGCUAACUCAAACGACUAUUUUGGUCAAGAGUAAUCUAUUUAGGCAAACUUCCAGCCAAACGAGCAAAAAAUCAACAAAAAUCCCCAAACUGCAGGAACUAGGUUAAAUUUUAGAUCCGGGAUUCAGCGAGUUCAAGGGAUUAUUUGGGGAGAUUGUUGGGGAAUUUGAGUUUAGGGGGCGUGGUGAUUAUGGGAUGUGAAGUUAAGGUCGAUUGGGGUUGCUCCAUCGGCCGGUGGAGGUUGAGGGUUCUCUAGCGGCUAGGGUUUCUAUCCGGGUUAGGGUAAGGGACUAAAUGAAGGGAUUCGAAUGGGGGAGCUCUGUUUCGGAUAUUAAUAUAUGAAAUGAGAGCCAGUUCCCAGCUGUUGGAUCACACGAGAUCAAUGUUUGGGAUUCAAUGAGGCAGAAACGGGGUCGUUUGGCUUUAGUGGGGGCGGGCUAGUUUGAAGGGAUUGAGCUGGGUCGGACCGGGUGAGGGAUUGGGAGAGUGGGCUUAACAUCAAUUUUGGCCCAAUUGAAUUUAAAACUAGCCUUUUUACAUUUCCUUUUUCUUUUUUUAAUUAAUUAAAGACAUAAAUUAAAUUCUUAAAUUAAUUUAAAUUAUAAAAUUAAGCUAAUUAUCUAACUAUAAUUUUUAUAAAAAUUAAUUGAUCCUAAAUUAAAAGAGAAAAUAAAUAAUCCAAAAUUAAAAGCUAAGAAUGUAAAAAUGAGCCAUUAUUAUGAUUUUCAUUUUUAAUAAAGUAAUUAAUUGAUUAAUUAAUCCUAAAAUGUGAACACAAAAUCUAAAUGUAAUGCAUGGUAUUUUUGGGUUUUUUUCAUGAUUUUAAUAAAAGUAAACAUACUCAGAAAUGCAAACAAUUAACAAACAAUCAUACAAAAAUCCUAUAAAAUUUCAAACAAUUGGAAAAAAUCUAUUUCUUUAAUUUGUAGGAGUAUUUCACAUAGGGCAAAAAUCACGUGCUCACAACUGCCCCUCUUUGCUCAGAAAUACGAAGAGUUUUCGGGCAAAGAUAAAGUAAGCGAAUACGAGCUAUUUUUUCCCGUUUGGAUACUCCGUGGGAAGCAUUUUUGAAAGAUCUGAUCGAACCUUUCUUCCGAGGUUGCGUACAUAUCCUUGGCUAUAAAGGAAUCAGGUCAGUGUAGUUCGAAAUGUUUUGGUAGCUGGUACUACCGGGAAGCUGUGAUUUCAGUGUUGCUACUGCUUACUGAACUCCUUAUUACACCGAGACAAAAUAAAAAGAAGCUAGGCUAAACUAUGAUCUAUGAAUUACAAGAAUCCUAUCUACACAUCUUCAAACUUGAUCUUGCCGCUUCUGCAGUUCUGUUGUGCAUCUUGAACUGUUGACUCGCACUCUCGAGGCGAGCUUAUUUUAUUGCUGACUUGAAUUGAAUUCUGAAAUGAAUUCCCUUGUUUUCCAGGUAGGCGCCUGCUGUCAAAAUUUGAACUGCAUUCCCUUGUUUUCCAGGUGGGCGCCUGAUUGCCAGAAANNNNNNNNNNNNNNNNNNNNNNNNNNNNNNNNNNNNNNNNNNNNNNNNNNNNNNNNNNNNNNNNNNNNNNNNNNNNNNNNNNNNNNNNNNNNNNNNNNNNNNNNNNNNNNNNNNNNNNNNNNNNNNNNNNNNNNNNNNNNNNNNNNNNNNNNNNNNNNNNNNNNNNNNNNNNNNNNNNNNNNNNNNNNNNNNNNNNNNNNNNNNNNNNNNNNNNNNNNNNNNNNNNNNNNNNNNNNNNNNNNNNNNNNNNNNNNNNNNNNNNNNNNNNNNNNNNNNNNNNNNNNNNNNNNNNNNNNNNNNNNNNNNNNNNNNNNNNNNNNNNNNNNNNNNNNNNNNNNNNNNNNNNNNNNNNNNNNNNNNNNNNNNNNNNNNNNNNNNNNNNNNNNNNNNNNNNNNNNNNNNNNNNNNNNNNNNNNNNNNNNNNNNNNNNNNNNNNNNNNNNNNNNNNNNNNNNNNNNNNNNNNNNAAUUGCCGAAACUUGUGCUGUAUUCCCUUGUUCUCCGGGUGUGCGCCUGAUUGCCGAAACUUGAACUGUAUUCCCUUGUUCUCCAGGUGGGCGCCUGAUUGUCAAAACUUGAAUUGUAUUUCCUUUUUCUCCAGGUGGGCGCAUGAUUGCCAAAAUUUGAACUGUAUUCCCUUGUUCUCCGGGUGGGCACCUGAUUGCCGAAACUUGAAUUGUAUUCCAUUGUUCUCCAGGUAGGCGCCUGAUUGCCGAAACUUGAACUGUAUUCCCUUGUUUUCCAGGUGUGCGCCUGAUUGCCAAAACUUGAACUGUAUUCUCUUGUUCUCCAGGUGGGCGCCUGAUUGCCAAAAACUUGAAUUGUAUUCCCUUGUUCUCCAGGUGGGCGACUGAUUGCCAAAAAAUUGAAUUGUAUUCCAUUGUUCUCCAGGUGGGCGUCUGUUUGCCAAAAACUUGAACAGUAUUCCCUUGUUAUCCAGGUGGGCGCUUGCCAAAACAUACAAAACAAAAGAAACUUUUCUGCCCCAGUUUGGUAUUUGAGCACAUCUGUGAGUGUUAAUCGAAUCAUGUCUCCCAAAAGAGCUCUAAGAAUUUAAAAGCUAAAUUAUAUUUCCUAAAGUAAGAACUUAUGCCAAAUCUAGUUAUCUAUAAAGGUCUUGGAAUUUAACUAGGUCUCAUUAUCUAGGAGGGUCCUGAAAAUUUAUGGCUGAACCUGUCUGGCACAUCUUUUCCUUACGGAGGGUUCCUUCGGAACAGAUGAAAUUUCUUGCCCCUGUUUCAAUCAAAGAAAAUCUUAUCAGUUUGAAAAUGUGGUGGUUAGUUUGCGGAAUUCUUGCUGAAGGUGGCCUUUCCACUGCCAUGCUUUGUUCUGAUUAGCUGCCUUGGACUGGCAAAGAAUUGUUUGACCCUUUGAUUGAACCUCAACCAUAGACCCCGAAUGACCCGAGUGCCCCACACUCAACCUGCUAUUUUACAUUUCUAUCCUUCUAAUUUGAACCUCUGUAUUUUCCCCCAAAAUUUACGAAACCACUCGACCACUUGAACUUCUACUAAUACCUUAUUUUCCAUUUUGCAUCAUGCUAUUUCUGCAAUGCUUUGGCCGCACUUUGCUUUGUGCAAUUUGGAAGUUGGUAAUAAGCUUUGAAAUCCUUUCUUACUUACUUAACAAGGCUAACAUUGGAAAAGCCUUAGAGAAGUAGAACCAAAAGAAAAUGAAAUGCUAUGACUUCAAGAGUUAGGAAUAAAGAAGAAAAUUCGAAACAGGAUGACUGUUUGAGGAAGAAAAGGAAAAGAGACUUAUCUGAGUGAGGCAGCUGGCACCAAUGAUCAUGACAUGCAUUUAGGAUUAAUCAACCUAGUUCGUUCAGCCAAUCACCUUUCAGUUUUAAUACUUUAUGCCCCGGGGUUUCCAUAAUCCAAUCUCUCUGCAAAGUCACCAACCUUGUUCGGCUUGCGGCGCCCUAAAGGGUUUUCACCAACAAACCUCUCUCAUUUGUUCAUCUCUUAACUCACCGUCGCCUUACGAUGCCCGUGAGGGUUUUUACCAAUAAGACUCUCUCAUUUUAAUUUCUCUCAUUUUUCCAUCGCAUAACGGUGCCUGUGAGGGUUUUCACUAAUAAAACUCUCUCAUUUAUUCAUUUUCCUUGUGUAGAACAGAGUGUUGCCCUUGAUGACUCAUACAUCUAUCUCGCCUGACUUGGCAUCCCUCAAAAAUUGAUUGAAAGGUCUUUCUUUGGACCAUGAUGUGGGCUUUUGGAUAGGGUUAGACAAAAAGGAUAUCAUAAAGGCUCAAAACAACUGGAAUGGGUUCAAAAUUACAACUUUUGGAAUCAGAUCUCUUACAAAACCGCAACUUCUGCCCCAGUUUCUUUGCCUGGGGACUUUUGAAUUUUUUAUUUUGAUAGGACCGAACCGUGAGGCUGCCUACGUAUCCUUUAAAGGAAUCAAGUCGAACGUAGUUCAUGACAUAAGCGUUGCUUUGUUUUUGUUACUUUUUCUUUUGCUUUCUUUUUCUCUCUUUUAUCUUUCUUUUGCUUUACCUUCUUCUUUUUUCCAUUUUUAUCUUCCUUUUUUUCCUUUUAUUUAUGUUCCUAAACUUUACUUCUGAUUACGAAAGAGGGUAUGAAAGUAAAUAAAUAAGGCUCAAAAUGGGUAACAAAGGAUAAAAGUGUUUAGAUAUCAGAAUAAAAUGUCUUUGUCAUUCCAAUCUUCGAAACAUGCCAAAUACAAACAACACAAUUUGAAGAUGAACCAAAGAAAUCAUAACAAUAUCUCUUGACUGCAUCAGAAUUGACAGUUAUUUCUACACAUUUGUCUUCUAUAUCUAUUAAACAAAAAUCACCAUUGGGGCAACACUCCCGUUACAAUGAACGACCCCUGCCAGUUUGGGGAAAACUUGCCUUUAGCCUCAGCUUGACGUGGAAGAAUGCAUUUUAACACUGACUGAUCUACCUCAAACUGUUUGGGAGAUAUUUCUCUGUUGUAUGCUCUUAUCAACCUCUUGAUUGCCCAGACUAACUGCCUCAGUUUCACUCAAUUCCAGCUUUGUGUUAUCUCAAAAUGCGUGAAUCUUUAUUUGUUUCCUCAAACGCAUCUUUUAUCAUAUUCAAAACUAUGUUUCAUUAUUCCAAGAUUAGAUUGGCUUUCAAGAUCUAGCUAAAAACUCCACAUGCAUGUCAUGUCAUUAGAACCAGCAUAACAAGAACUGUAUAAAGGAAAAAAAAAUUAAAACAUAUAUUAGGAAUAACAAUAAAAGAAGAAAAAUUGGAUUCCACCGAAAAUAAAAGAAUAGAAAGGUUUUGACCAUCAAAAGAAGCAAAAGUGAAAUCUGGGUUACAACCCUUUGAAUAAUCCAAAUAACAAAAAAAUAAAGCAAACUACCAAACAUCCUCCCGGGUGGGGAGAGGAGAGGCUUCCCAAUUGCUAAGCUUCACAUUCGGCCCAACAAAAUGCACAUAUUCAUCACUAGAACCUUCCCCAAUUUCAACCAUAUUGACCUCAUCAAAUAGAUUUUGGGACAUUUUGAUCGACUCUACAUUAAAGUCAACCACAAGCUUUGGAACUGCUGACACCGGACGCUUUACUACCCAUGUCUUGAAGAAAGAUCUGGAGAGGCAUGGGAUAGGCUUAGGGAGAGACCAUUGUUUCUUUUUCAACUUUUUAGCCUUCUUUACAUCAUCCCCUGUAGACUUGAACUCCAGACCAAAUGUACCCAGAUUUUCACGUAAAGAUACUGGCUGCACAAUACCUUGCAAAGAUGCGCCCAGACCCUUACCCGGCACAAAACCAUACUUCAACAUCUCGUUAGCUACCAUAAAAAUCGAAGGUGAUAACCUCGGCCUUGGAAUGCAUUUUCCUUCAGGAAUUUUUUCGACGGACAUGGUUUCGAAAGUUUGAUAAACUAAAGGUCUUUUAUCAUCUCCAGCCUCAACAAAUGGAAUAAAUGAAUCUUCAUAAAGAGAUAAAUCCUCAUCACCAUGCACAUCUAUUUCUUGUUUGUCCCACUCAAAUUUUACCAUUGAUGUAGAGAAGAUGGCACUGCCUUAGCCGCAUGUAUCCAAGGCCUACCCAUUAACAAAUUAUAGGAGGAAACCACAUCUAGCACUUGAAAUUUCACACUGAAACCAACUGGCCCUAUCACCAAUUCAAGCAUUAUAUCUCCAGCAUAAUCUUUUCCUUCCCCAUCAAAGCCUCGAACACAUACAUUGUUCAUGUGGAUUCUUUCAGUGCCGAUCUUCAACUUUUACAAAGCGGACAGAGGGCAAAUAUUUGCAUUGGAGCCAUUAUCAACCAACACCCUUUUGACAAAAUAAUUUUUGCAUUUCACCGUGAUAUAAAAAGCUCGAUUGUGUUCUGUACCCUCUAUAGAAAGAUCAUCGUCUGCAAAAGUGGUCCUAUUUGCUUCGAAGAUCCUGCUAGCAAUAUUUUCCAAUUUGAUUCACUGUGAUCUUAUCAGGAACAUGUGCCUCGUUCAGAAUCUUCAUUAUGGCCCUGCGGUGUUCAUCUGAAUGUAUCAACAAAGAUAACAGAGAAAUAUUAGCUGGAGUUUUCCUUAAUUGUUCAACAAUGGGAUAGUCUUGCACUUUCAUCUUUUUCAAGAACUCUUCGGCCUCUUCCUCGGUAACCGGUUUCUUCAUUGGCAUUUGGCUAUCCUUGGAGAGCUUGGCCUUCCUCAAUUCUUCGGAGGUAAAACAUCCCCCAAAAUGAGUCGGUACUCCGAUCUCAACAAAUUCUUCCUCCACUUCUUUUCCCUUGUUUGUCAUUAUUGUUCGUUUGUAGUUCUAGGGGACAUCCUUUGUCUCAACUGCUGGCAACUGAGUCACUGGUUUGAUAACAACAGGGGUAAUGGGAGACCAUUUCACAACUACAACAUGCUUGCUUAGGAUCCCUGGUACCACCAACUUUGACUUUUUCUGACUUGCCCCGACACCGUUCGAAGACCUUUUUGCAAACAGCACACGUUUUCUAAAUACCUCAUCUUGCUCCACAAUCUUAGCGGGUUUUUCAAUUUCAAUGGGAGGCCCAAAAUGAGGAGUGUAACAGUAUGGAUCUGAGGUCUUGAAGGUUGGUUCUGUAGUAUAGUAUUGGGCAUCAAGAACUUUGAACAAGGUUCCACUAGAAGAUAGAGGGAUGGUGGCAUGUGAGGGAGCUGCAAAAACGGGAGUAGUUAAUGACGCGAGAUAUGAAGCUGUAUUGGCUGGUAGAGCAUGAAAGGGCUGGGACAAGGUGCCAGGGUAGUUGUGGCAAGGGGUAAAGCUUGGGGCGUGUUGUGGGGACAGAUCAGCAGCAGUGGGAAUCUGGGAUUGUGAUGGUAGUGGGACGAAAGCUUUUCAAUGUAGUUAGUAGGGAAUGAGAGUAGAGGAUGCCCACUAAUCCAAGCCUGGUACAUCUCUAUUAUCUGGUGUUUCAACCUUCGGGCCUCUUCUUUCAACUCAAAUUCCGAUUCCACAAUCCCCCUUGACAGAUCAACAACGCCUAUGUCCAAUUCCUUACUAGUCAUGGCUGUCUUGCUAUUUGACCUAGCGUAUAUGGAUGACUCGCCCAAAUGCCACAAACUAACCACCUUCCUGUUCUCAAUGACAACAACAAACUUGUUAGUGUUUAAGAUUUAACAGAUAGGCAACCGCACGUUUGGGAUGCAAUGCACCUGAACAAUUAAAAGCUUCUACUAUGUAUUUGAACGGCUGCAUGUUUCAUCCCGGCUUUUAACUAACUCUUUUCACUUUGCACUUUCUAUUUUCUCUUUUCUUUUCUUUUCACUCCAACCUUGUCUUUAGUCACUAUUGAUUUUCCCACUUGCUUCUUGUCGCUCCAUUUUUUUAUUUUUGCACUCGCUUUUGGUUUUCUUGUUUCGCCAUUUUUUCUUUCCACUCAAUUUCUUUUCUUUUAUUCUCUCUCUUUUUUUCUCUCUCUUUCUUCAUUUUUUCCUUAUUUUAGGGUUAUGAUCGAAUCCUAUGUGAAUUGUCUACGUAUUAUGAUGUCGCAAGAAUCAGAUCAUUACGUAGUUCAAGAGAUAAGUGCGAAAUAAAAGAAAGACACAUUUUUUGGGUUUUCAAAUUUUUCAUAAAAUAAAAUAAAACAUUCUGAUUUUUCUUCUAUUACAACGACUUCCCAUACACACUUAAACAUAAAAACUAACAGACUCCAAAGAAACCGUAAUACAGACUCAAAAGUGGACUAUCAAUCUCCAAAAGAAACUGAAAAUACAGACUCAAAAGUGGACUAACAAACUCCAAAAAAAACUGAAAAUACAGACUCGAAAAAUAAUAUCAGAAAUACAUAAGUGCCUCAACUACUGCUCUAGGGGCCCGCGGGACAUCAGUCGGUCUUGCCGCGGGCCUACGCACUAUAUCUUCUUGAAGGCGAUAUAAGUCAUCCAUUAUUUGACGGACAAAAAUCAUAACUGCAGCGAAGAACAUGAACCUAGUCAUGUCCUCCCAUUCGUUUCACUUCAUCACAAUAUAGUCAACAAUCCUUCUAACCCUCUCCCUGAUGACACCCUUCUCCUGUAGCAAACGUCCAAUCUGUUGAGAUCUGGCCUCCAAAACUUGUGUGGCUGUUUGAUUUUGCUCUUGUAAUUGUUGUAUGUCCUCUUCUAAUUGUGACAUUAAGGCAUAGCAGUGUUCCCUUUCUGCUUUGAAGUUCUUUGCUUGCUUGGUCAUUUCGCUCUCAAAAACAUUAAUCUUUUUCUUCAACCCCAUGAUUCCUUUGUCGUUUUUUUCCUUCAACUGUUGAAUGAAACGUGCCCGUUUCUCCGCAUUCCUGACCAACUUUGCUCGGUCCUUUGCUAGCUCGCCCUCGGUCUUUUUCAAAUCAAAAUCAUAGUCACCAACUUUCCGCCUAAGUUUAUCUAUAAUUUUUUCAUCCUUUACACUUCUAGCAGGGUUCUCAGCUCCUGGAAUUGGGCUCGGAGGGCGUCAUUUUCUUUGGCUAACCUUUUCUUUUCACCCUCAUCUGCAGCGGCUUGCAAACCAUUCUCAAAUUGAAGAUCUCUGACUUGCUUUUCCAACUUGCUUAUGGUGGCCCUAUACUCAUUUUCUUUGGCCAGUCAAUCCCAUUGUUCCUGUGAUGCUUCAACAAAUUCUUAGAGGUGGGGUCUUUUGGAUGGUCUUCCGAACUAAACACUUCUUUUAUACCAAGCAAGGUAACCGAAUGAGACUUCUCCCUUGGAUAAAUCACGCACUCAGAUGUUUGCCAUCAGGUAUUGGCACUCACUCCAGAUCUGGUGAAUCACUGCUUCAUGAAAUUGGCUAUCAGAAUGGAUCUCGACUGCAUGAAUGCUAAGGUCUUCGUCCUUGGGAAUUAUUUGGCAUCUUCUCAACUAUCUCAAAACCUGGUACGGGGCAUAAGGCUAGAUACUUUUGAGACCCAUCAGGAGGAAGUGAGGACCGGCGGCAGGCAUGUAUAUAAUCUCAUUAACAGGAAGCCAACCCAACGUCCACUCAAUCUUAUCAGCAGUUAUAGAGUGGAGGCAAGAUAUCCAAUCUAAGACCCCUUCCGGCAUCUUGAACCCAUCGACCCUUGUAUCAAACUCCUCUAUGCAGCUUUUCCAUGUCGACCCGUAAUUCAUGUACCGAGGACGAUGACAUAGAUGUUCAAUCAUCCAUAUUUGUAGCAACAAAUUGCAACCUUCGAAAAAAUCUACUCCGUCUUUGCAAGCGGUGAGAGCUCGAAAUAUUUCAGACACUAUCAUAGAGGCAAAGGUGCUCUUGGCAUUGGUAAUCAAAGUAUUGACAACUCCGGCUACCCGUAGAUCAAUAUUCCCGUCCUUCCUGGGAAACACUAGAAGUCCCAAGAAUACCACCAUGAAAGCGAAACAUUUAUGCUCUUCCCAUUUUGGUUGGUUCCCUUUACUACAAAUUUUACUUUUCUGGUUUCAAAUCCCUCUAUAUGUCCGUACCGCCGGUAUAUGAAGUAUAGAGUGGAAAACCCAUUCUCCAAAUCUACAUACUGGAUCUGCCUGCUUAUUUUUAGCAAAUCCAGAAACUUGUGUGGGGUGACAGCCCUUGGAGCAACCAGGUAUUUAUGUCUUAGAGCCUCGGUACCCCCAGCGAAUCCCGCUAUCUCCUCCAAAGUAGGUGUGAGUUCGAAGUCCAAGAAAUGCAUAACGUUGUGAGAUGGAUCCCAAAAUGUCACCAGUGCUUUUAUUAUAUCUCCCUUAGGUCUGAUCUUUAGUAAUCCGGUGAGCGCUCCCAAAUACUGGUUGACCGUGUCUCGUCCUGGCUUACCUAAAUCUUCCCACCACAUGUGUAGUUCUAACGGAAUCUUGGUCAUGACCUUCAUUGGUAAAUUUUGAAUCGUGCUCAUUCUGUACAUUUAGAUUAAGGUGACUAGUUUAAAGACAAAAUGAAUCUUAUUUUGAAAACUAAUAAAAAGAGUUUAUUUUGCAAAAAUCAAAUAAAUCACGGCUACUUUUGCGAAUAUGGCCCUUCAGCACUUUGAAAUGGAAGAUUUUAGGGUUGUGGUCGCUAAAUGGCCAAAAAUUGACAAAGACACCGUCAGUGGCUAUUCUUGCAAAAACAGCCUUCUGACGUCCUGUUGGGACAUUCGGCUAUUUAGACAAAAACAACAUCACCCACUUUAUUUACGACAAAAAUGACGACACUUCAUAUAUAUAUAUUUUCAAAAUUUUCAAAAAGCGGGGCAGGACCCGAUGAGGGUUGUCUACGUAUCCUACAUCCGGUGAGAAUCAAACCCGCGUAGUUCGGCCAGUUUUGACGCAACUGAAAAAAUACAAACACUUUGAAAUGAUUUUUCCCCUCUCUUUUCCUUCUUCUUUUUUCAAAAAUUUUCAACAGAGUUUCGGGAUAUUUCGGAUACUGGAUUUUGGAAAACAGAUGAAAUUCUAUCUCAUACCCCGCACUUGGUUUUUCUUUUGGUUUUCCUCACUUAAUCUAGAGUCGGUCAACAUGCAAUCCGAAACAAAUUAAAUGCACACGUAGCACAUAAAAAUGUAUCAGGUUGGUCUCUUUAUUUUCGAGUACGCCUGUCCUAGACGGAUCCAACCCCUGUGUUGAGUCCACAAAGUCAAAUGCACAUGAUGUAAACAAGCGUUCCUACUAGGGAUCCGGUAUGAGGCUGAGUUAUUCUAGGUUCAAAACCUGGGUAUGUUGUUCUAGACUUGUGUACCGAAGCGGACAACUCGAGUCGGGGGGGCUACGUACCAGGAACCAAAAGGCCAUCCGGCUUUGUAACUUGUCCGAACCUCUUUCUAAAUUAGGGUAUGACACUAAAAGAAAAGAAGUCACGCCAGCGUGCACUUCUCCGAAGAUGAGAAGAGAAGGGUUUCACAGCAAUUUAUAUAUAGUUCCAAUAAUAUAAGCGGUAAAAAGCGGCAUUUAGCACAUUAGGCCCAAGCAUGUAAUAAAAAUCAGAUAAUAAAUAAAAGCCAAAUAUAACAGUUAUUCUAAGCUCGAAUUCUUGAACCCUGAACCAAAGGUUUUGGGUUCUUAUCCCCAACAGAGUCGUCAGAGCUGUCACACCUCCUUUUUCUACCACCGGAAAGGGUGUAUGAGAGUUUUUCCAGUUUAAGUGACAAUCGAAAUGAGAUUAUUUAUAUUAAAUUCAAAGUCGCCACUUGGGAUAAUUUAUGGUGUCCCAAGUCACCGGUUAAAAUCCCAAAUCGAGGAAGUUUGGCCCUGUUUUACAGUCCGCGAAACAUAGAAAUAUGGGUAAGGAAUUUUUUUAACCCGAGAGAAGGUGUUAGGUAUUUUCGGGUUCUGUGAUUUUAGCACGGUCGCUCAACUGUUAUUAUUGGCCUAUUUAUCUGAUUUUAAAAUAUUCUUGAAACCUAUGCAUUUUUAUCCCUUUUAAACCGUUUUUAAUAAUAAUCCAAUUAUCAUACAUCUAAUUAUUUGAUUAUAUGUUGCGAAACAUGUCACGGGAACCGUACCCAUGAUCUAUAACAUGUUUAUUUUAUUAAUAAAAUUAAAUUGUGGCCGGGUCACAUAAAUAUACCCCCGAAUUUUUAAAAUUGUGUAUCAUAACUACGUCACGGGAAGCGUACCCGUAGUUAUGACACUUUACUUAAUUAAUGGGCCUAAAGCAAACUACGAGAACUCAAGGCAUUUUUCUACAUUAGCUAAGAUAAUUAAAAUGAGGGCCAUAGGUUGGGUGAUUCAAUUGUGUGAAUGGCGCGCCUCAAUUUCUUUCAAAGAAAUACAUUCAAUUAAAAGAACUACGGGUAUUCAUAUUUAAAAACUAAUUUGAAAUUAGAUAUCACAACUACACCACGGGAGCCGUACCCAUAGUUGUGAUGAUUUAAUUACGUACCUAAAGCAAACUACGAGAUUCAUGUAUUCUUAAAACUAAUUCGAGGUUUAAUGUCGGGCUGUGGAUUAUAGCUUAAGGUAUUAGAAAUUGGUACAUGCUUUUAAACCUUCUGAACCAUUGUGCCAAAUAGGAAGCUCGUCACGUUAUUUAAAGGGGCUCAAAUAUUGAAAGCCGUUGGGCUCGAAAUCCAGCCCAAAAUGAAAGAAACCACAGACGGAGGCACUUCUAAGCCUGAUUAGGACCAUGCUACCCCAUUCAAAUUGGGUUGGGAAUGAAUAGCUCCCUUUUUGCCCACAGCAAAGGAAACCUUCAUUGAUUCCCAUAGUUUAUUUAUUUUAAUAAAGCAAUGUUCUGUUCCUUAGGCCCAAUGGUAACAAAAUGUUACUUUUAACUAGCUAAUUAAUAAACAACCACUUUACAACAAACAGCCCCAAAAGGCAACGAGUCAGUGAAAAGGUCUUACUCAGAUUGAAGUAUGGCAAAGUAAACAAGUGAAACAUCUGACUAACUUUAUAACAUCUCCUCUCAUACAGCAGCACUCAUACAUUAAUCACAUAGCAAGAAAUAAACUUGAAUUAUUAUAUUAACCAAUGAAUUCCUAUUCAAACUUGAUUUGCAUCCACUUAAUCAUUUUGGUAUUACACUACUUAAGUCUUAACAAUUUAACACCAUCAUAGCUAAAGUAAGAUAAGCAAAUCAUGACCUCAUGACUAACAGGACAUCAACUUAAACAUGAGCUUUAAAUCAAAUCGCUGAGAAAUAAAACUCAUAUGCUCAUGUAACUUCCCAGAAUAUCACGUUGCAGUUCAUAUUUGGACAUCAUCUUUUAACAGUCAUGUAAUCAAGCUAAGCUUCAAAAUCCUUACAAAAUUUAAUCAUACAUAAAAUGGGAUAAUUAAUACAUACAUUUAAGGCUAAAAUCUAGCUUGCUAAAAGGAGAUAUAGAAAACAGAGCAAAACAAAACAAAUAAUCAAAAUAUGGAAUUCAAUCCACGUAUUCACAUGACAUUUGAGAAUAAGGCAGCAAAUGAUCCAAAGCUCCAUGUAUAUGAUUCAAUGGCUAAGAGAAUGUUCAGCAUACAUACCUGUUUGUAACAAAAUCAACCAAAAUAGAAGUAAAUUUCCGAAAAAUGAGCAGAUGCAGCAGCCAAAAUAGAAGCACCAAGAAUGAUUCAAAGUAAGCUUCAGCUUCUUAACCCAGAAAUCUAAAGAACAGUACUUCACCCUUCGAAUGAAAACCAAAAAAGAAGAAAUUGAUGUCUUUCUUUCUAUGAAUUGUGUGUGUUCAUCAUGAGAAUUAAACUUUUUGAAGAAAGGAUUCUGCAGCUUAUCAAUAUCUCAGCCGUUUCUCUUUUUAGGUGUCCUAAAAUCUCCCUAGAAUGAAAAAAAUGAUCUUCUUAUAGAAAGACCUUAGGGCAGCAUCACCAGAUUUUCCUCAUUCCUUAAUUCUCCUUUUUACCCCUUUUUUA
This 14524-nucleotide long non-coding RNA is filed under the name Nicotiana tabacum (common tobacco). Its description in RNAcentral is "long non-coding RNA (NTAB_LNC003347)". The record is from RNAcentral. Lineage: Eukaryota; Viridiplantae; Streptophyta; Magnoliopsida; Solanales; Solanaceae.